This 599-nucleotide ribosomal RNA is filed under the name uncultured bacterium. Its description in RNAcentral is "bacterial SSU rRNA". It matches the Rfam family "Bacterial small subunit ribosomal RNA", at positions 42 to 626 of the family's 1533-position model. The record is from RNAcentral.
GCGUGCUUAACACAUGCAAGUCGAACGGAGAAUUUAUUUCGGUAAAUUCUUAGUGGCGAACGGGUGAGUAACGCGUAGGCAACCUGCCCUUUGGAUGGGGACAACAUUCCGAAAGGAGUGCUAAUACCGAAUGUGAUCCAAUUCUCGCAUGAGAGCUGGAUGAAAGAUGGCCUCUAUUUAUAAGCUAUCGCCAAAGGAUGGGCCUGCGUCUGAUUAGCUAGUUGGUGGGGUAACGGCUCACCAAGGCCUUGAUCAGUAGCCGGUCUGAGAGGAUGAACGGCCACAUUGGGACUGAGACACGGCCCAAACUCCUACGGGAGGCAGCAGUGGGGAAUCUUCCGCAAUGGACGAAAGUCUGACGGAGCAACGCCGCGUGAGUGAUGAAGGUUUUCGGACUGUAAAACUCUGUUGUCAGGGACGAAGGUGCGAUCUGCAAAUAGUUGAUCGUAUUGACGGUACCUGACGAGGAAGCCACGGCUAACUACGUGCCAGCAGCCGCGGUAAUACGUAGGUGGCAAGCGUUGUCCGGAAUUAUUGGGCGUAAGAGCAUGUAGGUGGGCUUUAAGUCCGAUGUGAAAUGCGGGCUCACCCGUAUGCAU